This 565-nucleotide ribosomal RNA is filed under the name uncultured Actinomycetes bacterium. RNAcentral describes it as "bacterial SSU rRNA". It matches the Rfam family "Bacterial small subunit ribosomal RNA", at positions 338 to 916 of the family's 1533-position model. The record is from RNAcentral. Lineage: Bacteria; Bacillati; Actinomycetota; Actinomycetes.
CCUACGGGAGGCAGCAGCAGGGAAUAUUGUGCAAUGAACGAAAGUUUGACACAGCGACACCGCGUGUGGGAUGACGGAUCUAGGUUUGUAAACCACUUUCAGGAGGGAAGAAAAUGACGGUACCUCCACAAGAAGCCCCGGCCAACUACGUGCCAGCAGCCGCGGUAAUACGUAGGGGGCGAGCGUUGUCCGGAUUUAUUGGGCGUAAAGAGCUCGUAGGCGGUUCAACAAGUCGGUCGUGAAAGUUCAGGGCUCAACCCUGAAAUGUCGAUCGAUACUGUUGUGACUAGGAUACGGUAGAGGUGAGUGGAAUUCCGAGUGUAGCGGUGAAAUGCGUAGAUAUUCGGAGGAACACCAAUUGCGAAGGCAGCUCACUGGACCGCUAUCGACGCUGAGGAGCGAAAGCUAGGGGAGCAAACAGGAUUAGAUACCCUGGUAGUCCUAGCUGUAGACGAUGGAUACUAGACGUAGGAACUGGAUUGACGGUUUCUGUGUCGUAGCUAACGCGUUAAGUAUCCCGCCUGGGGAGUACGGUCGCAAGACUAAAACUCAAAGGAAUUGACGG